This 252-nucleotide ribosomal RNA is filed under the name uncultured bacterium. RNAcentral's name for it is "partial 16S ribosomal RNA". It matches the Rfam family "Bacterial small subunit ribosomal RNA", at positions 524 to 776 of the family's 1533-position model. The record is from RNAcentral.
UACGGAGGAUGCGAGCGUUAUCCGGAUUUAUUGGGCUUAAAGGGUGCGUAGGCGGACUGUCAAGUCAGCGGUAAAAUUGAGAGGCUCAACCUCUUCCCGCCGUUGAAACUGGUGGUCUUGAGUGGAUGAGAAGUACGCGGAAUGCGUGGUGUAGCGGUGAAAUGCAUAGAUAUCACGCAGAACUCCGAUUGCGAAGGCAGCGUACCGGCAUCCAACUGACGCUGAGGCACGAAAGCGUGGGGAUCAAACAGG